CUGCCGCUGGAAGAAUCGCUGUCGCAGCUCACGUACUGAGAGCCUCGAGCUCUCUCAUUCUGCUGUGGGGAAAGUCCCCGGAGGUGCAGAGAAUAUCCUCGUUCUGCAAUGGAAAGCUGCCGAUUCCAAGCGCAUCGGUCCAGGGACGUUGGGAUGGCGAAGGUCGAUUUGGAUGCGUUCUAAGUUCGCGUUAGCGGUCUCGUUUGCAUCCUCCGCUUCGUCCACUCUGCUGCUCAGCUGAAGCCUUGUCGCGUCGGUGAAGGCGGGAAUGCGCAAAGAUAUGAGCGCGUUUCUUGCUCGGCAUGACGGGGUAACGGCUGGGCAUCUUGUUGCUCAUAGUCAUAGUUAUGCGAUUGUAGACUUGCGCAAGCGGUCGUUAACUCAAUGGGGCUCACUCUCCAACGGCA
Molecule: RNase MRP RNA, 407 nt
Filed under: Coprinopsis cinerea okayama7#130
Lineage: Eukaryota; Fungi; Basidiomycota; Agaricomycetes; Agaricales; Psathyrellaceae
Description: RNase MRP
Rfam family: RNase MRP
About the family: RNase MRP is an enzymatically active ribonucleoprotein with two distinct roles in eukaryotes. In mitochondria it plays a direct role in the initiation of mitochondrial DNA replication.
Source: Rfam by way of RNAcentral